RNAcentral lists this ribosomal RNA (253 nucleotides) under uncultured bacterium. RNAcentral describes it as "partial 16S ribosomal RNA". It matches the Rfam family "Bacterial small subunit ribosomal RNA", at positions 524 to 776 of the family's 1533-position model. The record is from RNAcentral.
UACGGAGGGGGCGAGCGUUAUUCGGAAUUAUUGGGCGUAAAGGGCGCGUAGGCGGCUGUACAAGUCAAAGGUGAAAUCCCUCGGCUCAACUGAGGAACUGCCUUUGAAACUGUACGGCUUGAGGCCGGGAGGGGGUAGCGGAAUUCCCAGUGUAGCGGUGAAAUGCGUAGAUAUUGGGAGGAACACCAGUGGCGAAGGCGGCUACCUGGACCGGUUCUGACGCUGAGGUGCGAAAGCGUGGGGAGCAAACAGG